CCGCAAGGGGUAACUGAGUGGCGAACGGGUGAGUAACACGUGGGUGACCUACCUUCGAGUGGGGGAUAACGUCCCGAAAGGGACGCUAAUACCGCAUAACAUCCUGCCUUUGAACAGGCGGAGAUCAAAGCCGGGGAUCGCAAGACCUGGCGCUUGAUGAGGGGCCCGCGUCCGAUUAGCUAGUUGGUGAGGUAAUGGCUCACCAAGGCAACGAUCGGUAGCCGGCCUGAGAGGGCGGACGGCCACACUGGGACUGAGACACGGCCCAGACUCCUACGGGAGGCAGCAGUGGGGAAUUGUUCGCAAUGGACGCAAGUCUGACGACGCAACGCCGCGUGGAGGAUGAAGGUCUUCGGAUUGUAAACUCCUGUUGCCCGGGACGAAAAGCUUCGACCUAAUACGUCGAAGUCUGACGGUACCGGGUGAGGGAGCCCCGGCUAACUCUGUGCCAGCAGCCGCGGUAAUACAGAGGGGGCAAGCGUUG
Molecule: ribosomal RNA, 484 nt
Filed under: uncultured bacterium
Lineage: Bacteria
Description: bacterial SSU rRNA
Rfam family: Bacterial small subunit ribosomal RNA
Source: RNAcentral